RNAcentral lists this ribosomal RNA (247 nucleotides) under uncultured Eubacterium sp. Its description in RNAcentral is "partial 16S ribosomal RNA". It matches the Rfam family "Bacterial small subunit ribosomal RNA", at positions 635 to 884 of the family's 1533-position model. The record is from RNAcentral. Lineage: Bacteria; Bacillati; Bacillota; Clostridia; Eubacteriales; Eubacteriaceae.
GGUAGACUAGAGUACUGGAGAGGUGGGCGGAACUACNAGUGUNGAGGUGGAAUUCGUAGAUAUUUGUAGGAAUGCCSAUGGASAAGUCMGCUCACUGGACAGAUACUGACGCUUAAGCGCGAAAGCSUGGGGAGCAAACAGGAUUARAUACCCUGGUAGUCCACSCCGUAAACNAUGAUCACUAGGUGUUGGGAGUCAAAUCUCANCGCCCAAGCUAACGCGAUAAGUGAUCCGCCUGGGGAGUACG